AUUGAACGCUGGCGGCAGGCUUAACACAUGCAAGUCGAACGGUAACGACAUGAAUAAUCCUUCGGGUGCGUUCAUGGGCGACGAGUGGCGGACGGGUGAGUAACGCGUAGGAAUCUACCCAACUGUGGGGGACAACCCGGAGAAAUCCGGGCUAAUACCGCAUACGCCCUACGGGGGAAAGCGGGGGAUCUUCGGACCUCGCGCAGCUGGAUGAGCCUGCGUCCGAUUAGCUUGUUGGUAAGGUAACGGCUUACCAAGGCGACGAUCGGUAGCUGGUCUGAGAGGAUGAUCAGCCACACUGGGACUGAGACACGGCCCAGACUCCUACGGGAGGCAGCAGUGGGGAAUAUUGGACAAUGGGGGCAACCCUGAUCCAGCCAUGCCGCGUGUGUGAAGAAGGCCUUCGGGUUGUAAAGCACUUUUAGUGGGGAAGAAAAAUUCGAGGUUAAUACCCUCGGGUCUUGACGGUACCCACAGAAAAAGCACCGGCUAAUUCCGUG
Molecule: ribosomal RNA, 500 nt
Filed under: uncultured bacterium
Lineage: Bacteria
Description: bacterial SSU rRNA
Rfam family: Bacterial small subunit ribosomal RNA
Source: RNAcentral